Molecule: transfer RNA, 67 nt
Filed under: Marmota monax (woodchuck)
Lineage: Eukaryota; Metazoa; Chordata; Mammalia; Rodentia; Sciuridae
Description: tRNA.Gly
Rfam family: tRNA (bases 5-63)
About the family: Transfer RNA (tRNA) molecules are approximately 80 nucleotides in length. Their secondary structure includes four short double-helical elements and three loops (D, anti-codon, and T loops). Further hydrogen bonds mediate the characteristic L-shaped molecular structure. tRNAs have two regions of fundamental functional importance: the anti-codon, which is responsible for specific mRNA codon recognition, and the 3' end, to which the tRNAs corresponding amino acid is attached (by aminoacyl-tRNA synthetases). tRNAs cope with the degeneracy of the genetic code in two manners: having more than one tRNA (with a specific anti-codon) for a particular amino acid; and 'wobble' base-pairing, i.e. permitting non-standard base-pairing at the 3rd anti-codon position.
Source: RNAcentral
GGAAAUAGCUCAGUGGUGGAGCAUGUGCCUACCAUGCAUGAGGCCCAGGGUUAAAUUCCCAGUACUG